This 473-nucleotide long non-coding RNA is filed under the name Mytilus galloprovincialis (Mediterranean mussel). The record is from RNAcentral. Lineage: Eukaryota; Metazoa; Mollusca; Bivalvia; Mytilida; Mytilidae.
GCUACAUAUAUCAUUGUUUUGGUGAUUAAAUCUUGUAAGUUGAUAAAUAAUUUAGUUUUAUGCAUUCUGAAAGACUGUAUUAAUUGUUUUUAUGAUUUUUUUUUAUUUUCCCUAUUGUUAUAUAUUUUCUUUAUUUUUCCUUUUUUGUAUAAAACUUGCACUUUAUGUUGACCUCAUUUUCAUAGUUUGUUUGUCAACAGUAAGGUUCUAUCUUUAGAUUAGUGUAAUUACUGUAAAAAAAACUGGUCAAUUAUAUUUUGUUUAUUGAUGUAUUGUAAAAUGUAUAAGUGCAAUUGACAGGGUUCACCUAACCUUGAUGACAUUCAUAGUUCAUAUAUGUACACUGUUUGUAUGAGGUCAUUUCUUUGUUUCUAUAAAUACAAGGUAUAUGUCAACUAUAUUUGUUAUAAAUAUAAUAAUGGUUAUGCACUUGUCAGUAUGUCACAGUUCAAUUAAUGAUGACCUCAUUUUCA